RNAcentral lists this ribosomal RNA (453 nucleotides) under Triticum aestivum (bread wheat). RNAcentral's name for it is "partial small subunit ribosomal RNA". Lineage: Eukaryota; Viridiplantae; Streptophyta; Magnoliopsida; Poales; Poaceae. The record is from RNAcentral.
AUGCAUAUAGAUAGCUUAUUUGCAUUGUUCAAAAAACUUUGUAGUCUCAACGAUGAUGCAUACAUGUCCACUAUGGGUGUUGGGUCCAACAAUUCGCAUUGGUCUCAAACCAAUGACAUCCAUUUCGAAGACCAUGAGUUUGAGGUGGACGAGGAGGGUGAGGGAAUUGUCGAGGCGCCGAAAGGAAGAGCGGGCAAUUACUCAACCAACGAUGACAAGUUACUAUGCAAUACUUAUUUGCAUGUGUCGAGGGAUCCAUCCAUUGGAGGUGAUCAAAGUAGAGACGCGUAUUGGGGGCGAAUGAAAGAACACUUUGAUGCUCACAACAAGAGUGGAAUUGACCGCUCCGAGAGAUCACUUCGGUCCCGAUGGUCGACAAUCAACUCGGAUUGUCAAAAGUGGGCGGCCGUACAAAAGGCCGUUGACAAGAUUAACCCAAGUGGCACAAAUUGA